GGGAAAAGCUCAAAUUUCAAAUCUGGCGGUCGGAAGGCCGUCCGAGUUGUAAUCUAGAGAAGCGUGUUCCGCGCUGGACCGUGUACAAGUCUCCUGGAAGGGAGCGUCAUAGAGGGUGAGAAUCCCGUCUCUGACACGGAGACCCAGGGCUAUGUGAUGCGCUCUCGACGAGUCGAGUUGUUUGGGAAUGCAGCUCCAAAAGGGUGGUAAAUUCCAUCUAAAGCUAAAUACUGGCGAGAGACCGAUAGCGAACAAGUACCGUGAGGGAAAGAUGAAAAGAACUUUGGAAAGAGAGUUAAACAGUACGUGAAAUUGCUGAAAGGGAAACGUUUGACGUCAGUCACGUCAGUCAGGGAUCAACCUUGCUUCGCAGCGGGUGCACUUCCUGGCGGACGGGUCAGCAUCAGUUUGGAUCGCUGUACAAUGGUGGAGGGAAGGUGGCAUUCCUCGGAGUGUGUUAUAGCCUUUCAUCGUCUGCAGGGAGCUAGACUGAGGAACUCGGCACGGCCCUCGGGUCUGUAGCCUAGGAUGCUGGCAUAAUGGCGUCAACCGACCCGUCUUGAAACACGGACCAAGGAGUCUAACAUGCCUGCGAGUGUUUGGGUGGAAAACCCGAGCGCGGAACGAAAGUGAAAGUCGAGACCUCUGUCAUGGAGGGCAUCGACGCCCGGACCGGAGUCAUAGACGAAGGAUCUGCGGUAGAGCAUGUAUGUUGGGACCCGAAAGAUGGUGAACUAUGCCUGAAUAGGGUGAAGCCAGAGGAAACUCUGGUGGAGGCUCGUAGCGAUUCUGACGUGCAAAUCGAUCGUCGAAUUUGGGUAUAGGGCCGAAAGACUA
Molecule: ribosomal RNA, 837 nt
Filed under: Boletellus sp. HKAS 74783
Lineage: Eukaryota; Fungi; Basidiomycota; Agaricomycetes; Boletales; Boletaceae
Description: eukaryotic LSU rRNA
Rfam family: Eukaryotic large subunit ribosomal RNA
Source: RNAcentral